AUGACAAAUAUGGUUCGAUGGCUCUUCUCUACUAACCACAAGGAUAUUGGGACUCUCUAUUUCAUCUUCGGUGCCAUUGCAGGAGUGAUGGGCACAUGCUUCUCCGUACUGAUUCGUAUGGAAUUAGCCCGACCCGGCGAUCAAAUUCUUGGUGGGAAUCAUCAACUUUAUAAUGUUUUAAUAACGGCUCAUGCUUUUUUAAUGAUCUUUUUUAUGGUUAUGCCGGCGAUGAUAGGUGGAUUUGGUAAUUGGUUUGUUCCGAUUCUGAUAGGUGCACCUGACAUGGCAUUUCCACGAUUAAAUAAUAUAUCAUUCUGGUUGUUGCCACCAAGUCUCUUGCUCCUAUUAAGCUCAGCCUUAGUAGAAGUGGGCAGCAGCACUGGGUGGACAGUCUAUCCGCCCUUAAGUGGUAUUACCAGCCAUUCUGGAGGAGCAGUUGAUUUAGCAAUUUUUAGUCUUCAUCUAUCAGGUAUUUCAUCAAUUUUAGGUUCUAUCAAUUUUAUAACAACUAUCUUCAACAUGCGUGGACCUGGAAUGACUAUGCAUAGAUUACCACUUUUUGUGUGGUCCGUUCUAGUGACAGCAUUCCUACUUUUAUUAUCACUUCCGGUACUGGCGGGGGCAAUUACAAUGUUAUUAACCGAUCGAAACUUUAAUACAACCUUUUUUGAUCCUGCAGGAGGGGGAGACCCAAUAUUAUACCAGCAUCUCUUUUGGUUCUUCGGUCAUCCAGAGGUGUAUAUUCUCAUUCUGCCUGGAUUUGGUAUUAUUAGUCAUAUCGUAUCGACCUUUUCAAGAAAACCAGUCUUCGGGUAUCUAGGCAUGGUUUAUGCCAUGAUAAGUAUAGGUGUUCUUGGAUUUCUAGUUUGGGCUCAUCAUAUGUUUACUGUGGGCUUAGACGUUGAUACGCGUGCCUACUUCACUGCAGCUACCAUGAUCAUAGCUGUGCCCACAGGAAUCAAAAUCUUUAGUUGGAUCGCUACCAUGUGGGGAGGUUUGAUACAAUACAAAACACCCAUGUUAUUUGCUGUAGGGUUCAUCUUUUUGUUCACCAUAGGAGGGCUCACUGGAAUAGUUCUAGCAAACUCUGGGCUAGACAUUGCUCUACAUGAUACUUAUUAUGUGGUUGCACAUUUCCAUUAUGUACUUUCUAUGGGAGCCGUUUUUGCUUUAUUUGCUGGAUUUUACUAUUGGGUGGGUAAAAUCUUUGGUCGGACAUAUCCUGAAACUUUAGGCCAAAUCCAUUUUUGGAUCACUUUUUUCGGGGUUAAUCUGACCUUCUUUCCCAUGCAUUUCUUAGGGCUUUCGGGUAUGCCACGUCGCAUUCCAGAUUAUCCAGAUGCUUACGCCGGAUGGAAUGCUCUGAGCAGUUUCGGUUCUUAUAUAUCCGUAGUUGGGAUUCGUCGUUUCUUCGUAGUUGUCGCAAUCACUUCAAGCAGUGGAAAGAACCAAAAAUGUGCGGAAAGUCCUUGGGCUGUUGAACAGAAUCCAACCACACUAGAAUGGUUGGUACAAAGCCCUCCGGCCUUUCAUACUUUUGGAGAACUUCCUGCGGUAAAAGAGACAAAAAGCUAA
RNAcentral lists this ribosomal RNA (1575 nucleotides) under Triticum aestivum (bread wheat). RNAcentral describes it as "partial small subunit ribosomal RNA". Lineage: Eukaryota; Viridiplantae; Streptophyta; Magnoliopsida; Poales; Poaceae. The record is from RNAcentral.